This 155-nucleotide unclassified non-coding RNA is filed under the name uncultured Sordariomycetes. RNAcentral describes it as "sequence contains ITS2". Lineage: Eukaryota; Fungi; Ascomycota; Sordariomycetes. The record is from RNAcentral.
AGACCACCCCUAGGCCCUCUGCCUAGCGUUGGGGAUCCGCCCAGGCGGUCUCUCAAAGGCCCCAGCGGAGCCGCGGCAGCCACUAAGCGUAGUAGUACCCCUUCCUCGCUUCUGUGGCCGCCCGGGUCCUGCUGUAAAACCCCCGACCCCCCAAG